Molecule: ribosomal RNA, 857 nt
Filed under: uncultured fungus
Lineage: Eukaryota; Fungi
Description: eukaryotic LSU rRNA
Rfam family: Eukaryotic large subunit ribosomal RNA
Source: RNAcentral
ACCUCAAAUCAGGUAGGAGUACCCGCUGAACUUAAGCAUAUCAAUAAGCGGAGGAAAAGAAAAUAACAAUGAUUCCCCUAGUAACUGCGAGUGAAGAGGGACAAGCUCAAAUUUUAAAUCUGUCAGGUACUACCUGGCCGAGUUGUAAUUUGAAGAAGCGUUUUCCGCGCGUUCUGGUCAGUCCAAGUCCCUUGGAACAGGGCAUCGUGGAGGGUGAGAAUCCCGUUCGGUUGACCAGGUGCGUUUUACGAUACGCUUUCAAAGAGUCAAGUUGUUUGGGAUUGCAGCUUAAAAUGGGAGGUAAAUUUCUCCUAAGGCUAAAUAACGGCGAGAGACCGAUAGCGAACAAGUACCGUGAGGGAAAGAUGAAAAGCAUUUUGAAAAGAAAGUCAAGUAGCACGUGAAAUUGUUGAAAGGGAAACGAUUGAAGUCAGUCGUACCGAUGGGCAUUCAGCCUCAUGAGUGCGAUCAUGUCGGGUUGUUGGGGAGCUUAACCGCCCUCGCGCUUGCGUGUUUGUGCCCUACGGGUUGUAUUUGGUCCGUAUGGGUAAGGUUAACACUCCAUUUUUGGGCCAUCCAUAAAUUGUCGGCGACAUGAAAUGUGGCUUCGAUCUCGUAUUGAAGUGUUAUAGCCUCUGGUAGAUGUGGUGACCGGGAUUGAGGAUUGCAACGAACCCUUCGGGCCACCUGUCUGGCCUCUGGUGGUCUUUUCGGUGCCGAAAGCGUGCUUACGGUCAUCGGAGUUGGCUGCCAAAAGGUUAGAACGGGUUGAUUUCGUUAAGGAUGCGCACGUGAUGCCUUUAAGCGCACCGUCGAGAAACUCGGACCCACGAGUCUAACAUGUGUGCGAGUGUGUA